This 387-nucleotide ribosomal RNA is filed under the name uncultured bacterium. Its description in RNAcentral is "bacterial SSU rRNA". It matches the Rfam family "Bacterial small subunit ribosomal RNA", at positions 28 to 417 of the family's 1533-position model. The record is from RNAcentral.
GACGAACGCUGGCGGCGUGCUUAACACAUGCAAGUCGAGCGGUAAGGCCCUUUCGGGGGUACACGAGCGGCGAACGGGUGAGUAACACGUGGGUGACCUGCCUUUAGCUCUGGGAUAAGCCUGGGAAACUGGGUCUAAUACCGGAUAUGACUCCGCGGUGCAUGCUGUGGGGUGAAAGCCUUGUGCGGCUGGAGAUGGGCCCGCGGCCUAUCAGCUUGUUGGUGGGGUGAUGGCCUACCAAGGCGACGACGGGUAGCCGGCCUGAGAGGGCGACCGGCCACACUGGGACUGAGACACGGCCCAGACUCCUACGGGAGGCAGCAGUGGGGAAUCUUGCGCAAUGGGCGAAAGCCUGACGCAGCGACGCCGCGUGAGGGAUGACGGCCU